CAGGUAGCUUUGAACACAUGGUAAGGAAAUACAUUCAUCUUUUCACUGAGAACUGCUCACCUAAUUGCUUGGUACAGUCAUGUUCAAUGAUAUGUAGUUGAUUAAAAAAUGACAAAUACUGUGACCAGCUGCCCUUUUGAUGUCAAAUAAUGUGGAAGAUUGAACACCAUGCUGAUCCAUUAGCCAUUUCCAGGAAACAUUGCAGCGUUAUAAGAGAAAUUAUAGACUAUUUGUUGAAGCUCAGCAUGUCCAUCUCCCUGCUUUGAAGAAGGAUGUUGGGAACUGACUGUAAGGAAGACAGGAUUGGAGAACCAGGUUUAGAAGAGAAAAGGCAGUGCCAGAAGUUUUUGAUUGGAGAAAACUACAGGGUAAUGUUGCACAAGAACCAUUGCUGGACUGCAUCAUUGCUUACCCAACAUGACUCAGCCUCGGUAUUGCCACUGACUCACGGAGCUCCUAAUAGAGGAGAAUUAGUGUCACAGAUCGACUGGAAAACCAAUCCACAUGAAGCCAGGAAGAGAAAUGAAGCUGCUGUUGCUGAAUCCAUAGCUGGCCUUAAUGAUGCUGGCUAGGAAAGACGGCCCAUUCUGGGGGAGAUAAGUCAAUUUUGCAGUGUCUGUUAUUAUCAUAGUGACUAUUGUCUUCCUGUUUUAUAUUUAUUUACCUAAAUUGUUUUGGAAAGACUCAGAGGUAUAGAGACAUGCCUACUUUUUGCAAAAAUCAUCACACUGUCAUGGAGGUAGUCCAGGCUAUGGGGCUCUUAUUUGUUGGUGUCUUGGGCAAGUUGCUUGACCUCUGAUCAUUGUUUGCUUAUUCUUAUAUGGCCCCUGUAUUUCAGACUCACUCUGUGUCAGGCAUUUGUUUACCUUUGUAGCAAGCUCAGGAGGAAAAUACCAUUGCCCUUGUUUUACAGGUGAUGAAACUGUACGUUUUCCAAGGACACAGUGCUAGUAAGUAAUGAAUGUGAAAUUUUAACUGUUUCAAUCUCUUCUCAGAGCCAGUGCUAACUACUCUCCUAAACUUCCUCUCAUCUGUAAAAUAUGGAUGAUAAUAACACCUCUUACAGAGUUGUUGUACAUAUUAAAUAAUAGAACUGUGAAAUGUGUAGUACUUCAUUACGCAUUAGGCAAUCAAUAAAUGGUUGAUAGUAUUACUAAAAAUAAUGAAGAAAAAUCUUCACUAAAGCAUCCAUAGCAGGAAGUCCUUGCUAGAACAUAACCCUUUGUCCUUUCAGUGUAAAUUAGUGUGAUGUUACCAGCACUUACAGCAGAUGGUAAGGAACACAAUACAAAGGAAUGAAUCUCUAGUAGUGAAAUGUCAGAUACUAUAACAUUUGGAUGGAAAACAAGCUUUUGUACAUGUUUGAAUCAUCUUGCUAACUACCGUAUCAUUUCAUGUUGAC
This 1402-nucleotide long non-coding RNA is filed under the name Homo sapiens (human). Its description in RNAcentral is "PREDICTED lncRNA (TCONS_00256313)". The record is from RNAcentral. Lineage: Eukaryota; Metazoa; Chordata; Mammalia; Primates; Hominidae.